GAUUGCAGUGAUGUGGAGAGCCGGAGGUGCCCCGGUGGCGCGGGGAUGGAGUCAGGAGAUGCCCAGGAGGAGGAUAUCGCCUCAUCUGCUGCUCCCAACAAGCCCAGGCCACCUGGCAUGGGAGGGCGCGGGCACAGCAGCGUGUGAGUCACCUCGGACACGCAGCUGCUCAGAUCACUGUGAGCCAGACUGUAUACAAGACCGAACAGCUCCUAGUCUUCAACCAGGAGUUGAAGUAAUUUUCAACAGGACGCUCAGCCAAUGUGAAAAGGGACAAAAGCUGUGUGAAGGAGAGGUGUCUGUGUUGGAAGUGUGAUAAUGAAUGGCACAUUGAGAACACAACCAGCUCAUAAUAACUGUAACGACUGGUGUUCCCUGUUCUGCAGGAUGGGGAGGGAGAGUGUCUCCAGUGCAUAGAAGUCAGUUCUUGAG
Molecule: long non-coding RNA, 432 nt
Filed under: Phasianus colchicus (ring-necked pheasant)
Lineage: Eukaryota; Metazoa; Chordata; Aves; Galliformes; Phasianidae
Description: lncRNA (ENSPCLG00000005252.1)
Source: RNAcentral